GUGCCAGCCGCCGCGGUAAUACGGAGGGUGCGAGCGUUGUCCGGAAUCACUGGGCGUAAAGGGCGCGUAGGCGGCCGAGCAAGGUCGCGGUGAAAGCCCGGGGCUCAACCCCGGGUCGGCCGUGGCAACUACUCGGCUCGAGCACUGUAGGGGCGGGUGGAAUUCCGGGUGUAGCGGUGGAAUGCGUAGAGAUCCGGAAGAACACCGGUGGCGAAGGCGGCCCGCUGGGCAGGAAGACCCCUUUACGGGGGUCGGCUGACGCUGAGGCGCGACAGCGUGGGGAGCAAACAGGAUUAGAAACCCCCGUAGUCC
Molecule: ribosomal RNA, 312 nt
Filed under: uncultured bacterium
Lineage: Bacteria
Description: bacterial SSU rRNA
Rfam family: Bacterial small subunit ribosomal RNA
Source: RNAcentral